GACGAACGCUGGCGGCGUGCUUAACACAUGCAAGUCGAACGGAAAGGCCCUGCUUUUGUGGGGUGCUCGAGUGGCGAACGGGUGAGUAACACGUGAGUAACCUGCCCUUGACUUUGGGAUAACUUCAGGAAACUGGGGCUAAUACCGGAUAGGAUCUCCUGCUGCAUGGUGGGGGUUGGAAAGUUUCGGCGGUUGGGGAUGGACUCGCGGCUUAUCAGCUUGUUGGUGGGGUAGUGGCUUACCAAGGCUUUGACGGGUAGCCGGCCUGAGAGGGUGACCGGCCACAUUGGGACUGCGGUACGGCCCAGACUCGUACGGGAGGCAGCGGGGGGGAAUAUUGCACAAUGGGCGGAAGCCUGAUGCGGCAGCGCCGCGUGCGGGAUGACGGCCUUCGGGUUGUAAACCGCUUUCGCCUGUGACGAAGCGUGAGUGACGGUAAUGGGUAAAGAAGCACCGGCUAACUACGUG
This 468-nucleotide ribosomal RNA is filed under the name uncultured bacterium. RNAcentral's name for it is "partial 16S ribosomal RNA". It matches the Rfam family "Bacterial small subunit ribosomal RNA", at positions 28 to 507 of the family's 1533-position model. The record is from RNAcentral.